RNAcentral lists this long non-coding RNA (1030 nucleotides) under Lactuca sativa (garden lettuce). Its description in RNAcentral is "long non-coding RNA (LSAT_LNC007506)". Lineage: Eukaryota; Viridiplantae; Streptophyta; Magnoliopsida; Asterales; Asteraceae. The record is from RNAcentral.
UUAUCUGAUGUCGGUUUUUGCCAGACUUUUUACCGCUGGAAUACCAUUGUCGAGACCUUCGAUUCUCGUUUAGGUCAUUCCGGCCAAAAGUCGCUCGAUCUCCGAUUCGAGUUUUUAGCUGUCUGUUGCUAAGCCGAACUUGGAAAAANGGUUUUUGCCAGACUUUUUACCGCUGGAAUACCAUAGUCGAGACCUUCGAUUCUCGUUUAGGUCAUUCCGGCCAAAAGUCGCUCGAUCUCCGAUUCGAGUUUUUAGCUGUCUGUUGCUAAGCCGAACUUGGAAAAAUCACGUCUUCGCUAUAUGAAGUCGGAUUUGGGCGUUCUUUUCACGUACGAUUAUGUUUCAAAGACAUUUAAUCAUAGAAGGAAAUUAAGUAGAACUUAUUUAUGCAUGUUAUUAUGAAGGUAACUUUUUAUUAUUCAGAAGUGGUUACAAUACUUGACCCAUUUUGGUCGUUACAAAGAGUUGAAAUAUCGGGUUGUCACACGGCGAAGGAAAGUCUCACAAGAGCCUUAACAGAUUUACACGAACUAUCACUCCCAUUAUUGAAUAAUGACAAUGACAUUACUACUGUAAAUUCAUGACUGCAGUUUUAUGACAUGUGUUUUACAGCUUUAUAACAUACAACUCAUAACUUGUACUUUUAAAAGCUUUAUGAUGGACAGAUUAUGACACCCAAAUUUUUCUGUCGUACAAUUUUUUCUUGUAUACCGUUUUGAUUAAAUUAUUUAUAACACUUUUUAUAAAUAAUCAUUAAUGGACUUGUCUACUAGUAAUAUAUGUUGUGUAAACAGCAUAAUCCUCUAUGUUUUUAAACUAGUAAAAAUUAUUUUUAGUAAAAUAAUCAAGUUUUGUAGUUUGUUUAACACACCAAAAUUUAGUUUUAAGAGUUUUGUAACACAAGAUAUACUAUUUUGUUGUUACUCUAGCAAGUCACGAUUUUCACAAAAAUGCAUAUAGAAACCUUGAAAUUUAUUAUAUUCCAAUAUUUGCGUAAGUAUAAGUGUUUUAAAAAAAAUGUAUAUGUUCC